Molecule: ribosomal RNA, 371 nt
Filed under: uncultured organism
Description: partial 16S ribosomal RNA
Rfam family: Bacterial small subunit ribosomal RNA
Source: RNAcentral
GAAGGUGGCAAGCGUUGUUCGGAAUCACUGGGCUUAAAGCGCGCGUAGGCGGAAAUUUUAGUGUCAUGUGAAAUCCCUCGGCUUAACCGAGGAAUUGCGUGGCAAACUGGAUUUCUUGAGGCAAGUAGGGGUACAUGGAACUCUUGGUGGAGCGGUGGAAUGCGUAGAUAUCAAGAGGAACGCCAAAGGUGAAGACAGUGUACUGGGCUUGUACUGACGCUGAGGUGCGAAAGCGUGGGGAGCGAACGGGAUUAGAUACCCCGGUAGUCCACGCCGUAAACGAUGUCUACUAGGUUGUGGAGGUUCUGACACCCUCACAGUCGAAGCAAAAGUGUUAAGUAGACCGCCUGGGGAGUACGGUCGCAAGGCUA